UUGAAGGAGUUCAUUGGUAUA
This 21-nucleotide microRNA is filed under the name Physcomitrium patens. RNAcentral describes it as "ppt-miR1222a". Lineage: Eukaryota; Viridiplantae; Streptophyta; Bryopsida; Funariales; Funariaceae. The record is from miRBase by way of RNAcentral.